Hypanus sabinus (Atlantic stingray) is the source of this 722-nucleotide long non-coding RNA. RefSeq lists it as uncharacterized. The record is from RefSeq and is a predicted model, not a curated record. NCBI's taxonomy places the organism in Eukaryota, Metazoa, Chordata, Chondrichthyes, Myliobatiformes, Dasyatidae. The transcript is spliced from 3 exons.
CUUGCAGCAAAUUCCUAAUACAUUUCCGCACGAGCAAGUGAAAAAGCAGUUGAGCAACACAAACAAAAUUCUGGAGGAACUAAGCAAGUCAAGCAGCGUCUAUGGAAGGGAAAGUCGACGUUUUGGGCCGGAAACCUUCGUCAGGACUGAUAAUCAUUUUGGUUAUAAAGAAACGUACGGAAGUUAACAUCCAGAGAAUGAAAUCUGAUGGCAGAGGAGAAGAAGCUGUUCCUGAAACGCUGAGUACAUGUUUUCAAGCUCCUGUACCUCCUCCCUGAUGGAAGCAAUGAGAAAAGGAGGAUGCAACCACAAGAUUCGUCCUCCCACAAGCAGCCACGAAACAAAGAAACACUGUGGAGUCCAUUCAAAGAAACCAUCAAGCACCCAACGCAAGAAAAAAAAAAGAACAAAUCUUGCAAACACAGAAAAGUGAGCAAAUUACACACACGAUAUUAAACAUCAAACCACAGAGUCUCCGAAACAGUCCAGGAGCUACAGCCACUGAGUUUGCUCAGCUGGCGAUGACUUCAAGCCUGAAAACUAGAGCCAAUUUUGCACGAAAAUGCCUUGACAGAAUGAUGCAAAUAGCAAAAAAAGAGUAACCAGAAACACAUGGAACACUAACCGCAGAGUCCUCCAAAAACAAGUCCACAACCGCGGAGCAUUCUGCAUUUUAUUCUAUUUUAAUGCGCUGUGUAAUGAUUUAUUCUGUAUGAACAGCA